This is a long non-coding RNA of Ictalurus punctatus (channel catfish), 1295 nucleotides long. The record is from Ensembl. Lineage: Eukaryota; Metazoa; Chordata; Actinopteri; Siluriformes; Ictaluridae.
CUCUCAUCUGCAACACGUACUGAAGAAUGCCUUGCUCACCUGCUGCAGAUGUUGUAGGGGCUUCCCAGCUCUUCCUCAGCAGAUCUAGUGGAAUCUGGACAGAGCAUCUGUAAAACAAUUAUAAAGUGAAAACCCUGUUGAUGCUUGGGGUACCUUUCUAUAUGCAAACAACAUGAACGUUGUUAAAAUUUAGUAACUGAAUGUUCCUGACAAGCGGCGUGGACAGAAUAAUAGUAAUGGGAUUACUUAAAUUGCGAGAGCACAAAUGCCAUUCCAAUUAGUGGGGCAGUAGAAAUAGGCCUGUGAAUCUCAUAUCCAAUACCAAUCUGGCAUAAAUAGUGACCCUAUCCUGCCAGGGUGAUAACUAAGCAUGAAGAGACUGGUAGGGCACCUAAAUCCUCCUCCCCUAUAUGAUGAACACAGACUGGGUAAGGCUUAUGAGGCUUGUUCACAGUGAUAUGAUCUAGGGGUGGUCCAACAUUACGUGAAAGAGAACCGUUAGUAUAUGACAAUGCCAUCUGAAAAAAUGAGGAAUGAGUGGCAUUCAAAGAACGAUUGUUGAGAAAAUGCCCCAUUCACCAUCGAUAGAGAUUAACACAUCCUUUUGAUGAGAGUAACAUUAAUCAUAGAACUAAGGGAAUGCAGGGAAAAGGGGUUGUCUACUGAAGAUGGCAGAACAAAGUGAGUUGAGAUGUUAUGCUGGUGAGCAGUAAGAUUAGCAUAUUGCCAAAAGGUGUUAUGGGAGUACAGGUGAAGUCCUGUGGUUAGUGUUGGUGCCAGGAGAUACAGAGCCAUAGGUACUAUCAAGACUAGAUAAUAGAGGAGUGGUUUCAUUAGGAGGAUCAAUUUGUAUUUGUUUCCAAGUCUAAUACAAUAAAAUGUGUAUGUGUUAAGUUAAGACGAGAAGAGGCCUCCUAGGGGCUGGUUGACUGUGAAUUUUCUUCUGUCUAGGGUGAGUUUGUUCUAGUUGGGCACCUUUCAGUCUACUUGUGUGGAUCCACUAGGGUUGAGAGUCAGUGAAUAUGGUCGUGCGAGUGACACUUAUCACCGUUGUGGGAAGUCCAAAGGCAGCUUCUCCAACUUUCCUGGGGUUGAGGCUUUUCCCUGUACUGCAUCACCUGGGAGAAAGGGAAACACCAGGGUUACCUUUAGUCCACGAGGUUUGAAAUGGUCUGCCCAUUAUGAUUUCAAAAGGAAAUAAUUGAGACUUUGGAUGUGGCGUCAUUCGAAUCUCACAGAACAGCACUGAAGCUGAAUUUGAUGACGGACCAAAAACUGAGUCUGAUGGAGCUCCU